GUGGGUAUAGCUCAGUGGUAGAGCACAUGCUUAGCAUGCACAAGGUUGUGGGUUCAAUCCCCAGUACCUCCA
Molecule: transfer RNA, 72 nt
Filed under: Camelus bactrianus (Bactrian camel)
Lineage: Eukaryota; Metazoa; Chordata; Mammalia; Artiodactyla; Camelidae
Also listed under: 1 other name
Rfam family: tRNA
About the family: Transfer RNA (tRNA) molecules are approximately 80 nucleotides in length. Their secondary structure includes four short double-helical elements and three loops (D, anti-codon, and T loops).
Source: Rfam by way of RNAcentral